UACAGAGGGGGCAAGCGUUGUUCGGAAUUACUGGGCGUAAAGGGCGCGUAGGCGGCCUUCUAAGUCGAACGUGAAAUCCCCGGGCUCAACCCGGGAACUGCGUCCGAUACUGGAAGGCUAGAAUCCGGGAGAGGGAUGCGGAAUUCCAGGUGUAGCGGUGAAAUGCGUAGAUAUCUGGAGGAACACCGGUGGCGAAGGCGGCAUCCUGGACCGGUAUUGACGCUGAGGAGCGAAAGCCAGGGGAGCAAACGGG
RNAcentral lists this ribosomal RNA (253 nucleotides) under uncultured bacterium. Its description in RNAcentral is "partial 16S ribosomal RNA". It matches the Rfam family "Bacterial small subunit ribosomal RNA", at positions 524 to 776 of the family's 1533-position model. The record is from RNAcentral.